CAGAGAGAAGCAAAACAGUGAUGUGGAGCAAAACUCAAAAAGCGGUCUCAGUUCGGACUGAAGGCUGAAAUUCGCCUUCACGAAGUCGGAAUUGCUAGUAAUCGCGGAUCAGCAUGCCGCGGUGAAUACGUUCCCGGGCCUUGUACACACCGCCCGUCACACCAUGGGAGCCGGUAAUACCCGAAGUCAGUAGUCCAACCUCGUGAGGACGCUGCCGAAGGUAGGAUUGGCGACUGGGGUGAAGUCGUAACAAGGUACC
This 259-nucleotide ribosomal RNA is filed under the name uncultured bacterium. Its description in RNAcentral is "partial 16S ribosomal RNA". It matches the Rfam family "Bacterial small subunit ribosomal RNA", at positions 1240 to 1500 of the family's 1533-position model. The record is from RNAcentral.